Molecule: unclassified non-coding RNA, 317 nt
Filed under: uncultured Tomentella
Lineage: Eukaryota; Fungi; Basidiomycota; Agaricomycetes; Thelephorales; Thelephoraceae
Description: sequence contains ITS2
Source: RNAcentral
AACGCACCUUGCGCCCUUUGGCCAUUCCGAAGGGCAUGCCUGUUUGAGUAUCAUGAACACCUCAACUCUUCAUGGUUUUCCGUGAUGAGCUUGGACUUUGGGGGUUUUGCUGGCCUGUGGUCGGCUCCUCUAAAAUGAAUCAGCUUGCCAGUGUUUGGUGGGCAUCACAGGUGUGAUAACUAUCUACGCUUGUGGUUUUCCACCAGGGUAACCUUCAGCAGUGGAGGUUCGCUGGAGCUCAUAGAUGUCUCUCCUCAGUGAGGACGGCCCUUUGAAUGUUUGAUCUCAAAUCAGGUAGGACUACCCGCUGAACUUAA